Molecule: long non-coding RNA, 1798 nt
Organism: Callithrix jacchus (white-tufted-ear marmoset)
Lineage: Eukaryota; Metazoa; Chordata; Mammalia; Primates; Cebidae
Source: Ensembl
UUCCAGUUCCUUGUAGAAGAUAAUGGGAAGUGACCUGAGCCCAGUGCUGGGGAACACGGCAGUGCUCUUCAAGGCCUCCGCUGGAACAUCUGGUACCUCCCAAGCCAGGCGCUGUACCUGGUCAGUGAGGAAAGUAUUGGCAAAGCCUCGGGACAGCCUCCAGGUCUUUUCAUCCAGACGAGGCUGGCUGCUGGCUUCCAGCAAUAACACAGGGCCUGGCACUUUCUGACGACUCAACACAUGCGCACUGAGUGGAGCUGCCCUCAGGAAUGAGCACAACUGCACCUUUAGUGGAGGCUGUUUUCCUGUCAGCUUGCACCUCCCUGGAUCUGUGUGCACUGUGGAGUACAGGGCCUCACGCUGAGCCCAGAGCAUUCUGAGCAAAGCAGGCAUGUAUGGGAACCAGGAGUUCUAAACGCUUUCCCUUACCCUGUCCCCUUAAUCCUCUUAACAACCUGCAAGGCAAGUCCUUCCACAACUGCAUGUGAGAUGAGUAAUAGCAGUUUUCUGAGGUGGGAUGCCUUGCCAAGGUCACACCUGGAAGACUGAUGCUGAAGAAGCAAGGAGUGUUGAAAAAGCCUUGAGUGACGGAGGACCUAGGAGUGAUAGGAAGCUAGGCGUGAUGAGGGAGGAGCCAGGAGUGAUGGGGAGGAGCCAGGAGUGAUGGGGGAGUAGCCAGGAAUGAAUGAGGAGCCAGGAGUGAUGGGGGAGGAGCCAAGAGUGAUGGGGUAGGAGCCAGGAGUGAUGGGGGAGGAGCCAGGAGUGAUGGGGGAGGAGCCAAGAGUGAUGGGGAGGAGCCAGGAAUGAUGAGGGAGGAGCCAGGAGUGAUGGGGGGAGCCAGGAGUGACGGAGGAGCUAGGACCCUAACCUAAACCUGGAGUAGAGAGAGUGGGAACAUAGGGCUGGGUGUGGUGGCUCACGCCUGUAAUCCAAGCACUUUGAAGGCCAUGGAUCACCUGAGGUUGGGAGUUCAAGACCAGCCUGACCAACAUGGUGAAACCCUGUCUUAAAAAAAAAAAAAAAGAGAGAGCGAGAGUAGGGACAUGAGGAGGUGCAUCCACUGAACGUGUUUGUCUUCCUUUUUGACAUGUUGAGCCUCCAGCAAUAAAGCCUGCCAGAAAAGGGAAUCUACAACCGAAGUCCUUUCCUUCUCUUGGUCAGCUUUGCUGUGUUAAUUCCACGUUCAUGUCAACAUCUGUACAUGAGUGUCUAUGACAACUUUAUUUACAACAGUUAAAACCUAGAAACAACCCAAAUAUCCUUCUACAGGUAAAUGGUUGAACAGUGGCUCAGCCAUACCCUGAAAUACUACUCAGUAACACAAAGUAACAAAUGACUGACCUACACAUCCCCCUGGAUGCAUCUCCAGAGAAUGAUGCUGAGUGGAGCAGCCAUACCCAAAGGUUCCGUGUUGUACCUUCCAUUUAUGCAUAACCUUGAAAUGAUAAAAUUGUAUCCAUGGAGAACAGACUAAGGGCUGUCAGGGCUUAAGGGGGGUGGAGUCCGGGGCAAAUGGGUGUGGCUAAAAAGGGACAGCAGGAGACGUCAUUAUGGUGACAGACAGGCACUAUGCCCCCGGUUCUAGGGUCGGUGUCCUAGUGGUGAAAGCGUUCCAUAGCUUUCCAAGGCGUUAUCACUGGGAAAACUGGGGAAAGGGUAUUUGGGAUCUUUCCGUAUUAUUUCUCAUAAGUUGUAUAUGAAUCUGCAAAUAUCAAAAUAAAAUGCUUUUUUAAAAAAAAACGGCAGGAGAGAUUCUUAGCGUAGAAGUUUGUUGCAUAAGAACUAGAUGCAAGCGGCU